Molecule: ribosomal RNA, 433 nt
Filed under: uncultured bacterium
Lineage: Bacteria
Description: partial 16S ribosomal RNA
Rfam family: Bacterial small subunit ribosomal RNA
Source: RNAcentral
AACGAGCGCUGGCGGCAUGCCUAACACAUGCAAGUCGAACGAGACCUUCGGGUCUAGUGGCGCACGGGUGCGUAACGCGUGGGAAUCUGCCCUUGGGUUCGGAAUAACAGUUGGAAACGACUGCUAAUACCGGAUGAUGACGUAAGUCCAAAGAUUUAUCGCCCAAGGAUGAGCCCGCGUAGGAUUAGCUAGUUGGUGAGGUAAAGGCUCACCAAGGCGACGAUCCUUAGCUGGUCUGAGAGGAUGAGCAGCCACACUGGGACUGAGACACGGCCCAGACUCCUACGGGAGGCAGCAGUGGGGAAUAUUGGACAAUGGGCGAAAGGCUGAUCCAGCAAUGCCGCGUGAGUGAUGAAGGCCUUAGGGUUGUAAAGCUCUUUUACCCGGGAUGAUAAUGACGGUACCGGGAGAAUAAGCACCGGCUAACUCCGUG